RNAcentral lists this ribosomal RNA (436 nucleotides) under uncultured bacterium. Its description in RNAcentral is "bacterial SSU rRNA". It matches the Rfam family "Bacterial small subunit ribosomal RNA", at positions 954 to 1390 of the family's 1533-position model. The record is from RNAcentral.
GCACAACGCGAAGAACCUUACCCACCUUUGACAUGUACGGAAUCCUUUAGAGAUAGAGGAGUGCUCGAAAGAGAGCCGUAACACAGGUGCUGCAUGGCUGUCGUCAGCUCGUGUCGUGAGAUGUUGGGUUAAGUCCCGCAACGAGCGCAACCCUUGCCAUUAGUUGCUACAUUUAGUUGAGCACUCUAAUGGGACUGCCGGUGACAAACCGGAGGAAGGUGGGGAUGACGUCAAGUCCUCAUGGCCCUUAUAGGUGGGGCUACACACGUCAUACAAUGGCUGGUACAAAGGGUUGCCAACCCGCGAGGGGGAGCUAAUCCCAUAAAGCCAGUCGUAGUCCGGAUCGCAGUCUGCAACUCGACUGCGUGAAGUCGGAAUCGCUAGUAAUCGUGGAUCAGAAUGUCACGGUGAAUACGUUCCCGGGUCUUGUACACAC